CUGGCGGCGUGCCUAACACAUGCAAGUCGAACAGAGUGAAACGCUGAAUUGAAGGUAGCUUGCUACUGAAUUUUCUUGUUUCACUUAGUGGCGGACGGGUGAGUAACGCGUGAGUAACCUGCCUUACAGAGGGGGGACAACAGUUGGAAACGACUGCUAAUACCGCAUAAUGUAUCGAGAAGGCAUCUUCUUGAUACCAAAGGAGCAAUCCGCUGUAAGAUGGACUCGCGUCUGAUUAGAUAGUUGGUGGGGUAACGGCCUACCAAGUCGACGAUCAGUAGCCGGACUGAGAGGUUGAACGGCCACAUUGGGACUGAGACACGGCCCAGACUCCUACGGGAGGCAGCAGUGGGGGAUAUUGCACAAUGGAGGAAACUCUGAUGCAGCAACGCCGCGUGAGGGAAGAAGGUUUUCGGAUUGUAAACCUCUGUUUUUAGUGAAGAAUAAAUGACGGUAGCUAAAGAGGAAGCCACGGCUAACUACGUG
This 486-nucleotide ribosomal RNA is filed under the name uncultured bacterium. RNAcentral describes it as "bacterial SSU rRNA". It matches the Rfam family "Bacterial small subunit ribosomal RNA", at positions 36 to 507 of the family's 1533-position model. The record is from RNAcentral.